GCGAUCAGACGCGGCCUGAGAGAGGACCGGGGAUUUAGCUCAGUGGUUCCGCCGCCUGCCUCACAAGCUCAAGGACCCGAGUUCGAUCCCCGGUACCAAAAAAAAAGAAAAAAGAAACACAGUCUGAGCCGGGAUCGGAAGCACGAAGGCCCCCAAGCCCUACGCGCGGUUUUUCCGUACGCAACUGCGGCUGCGCGGAGCGUGGGGCGGGGAGGGGCAGACGUGCGUUCGGAGCCGGCGAGACCGCGCCUGUCCGCGGGUGUGCUAGAGCGGCGCGCCUGGGUUCGAGUGAGGAAGCCAUGGAGGACGAGAGGAGCUUCUCGGACAUCUGCGGCGGCCGUCUGGCUCUGCAGCGCCGCUACUACUCGCCGUUCUGUCGAGAGUUCUGCGUCAGCUGCCCUCGGCUCUCUUUGCGCUCUCUCACAGCUGUCACUUGCACCGUGUGGCUGGCGGCCUACGGACUCUUCACUCUGUGCGAGAACAGCAUGAUCCUCUCAGCUGCCAUCUUCAUCACUCUCUUAGGCCUGCUUGGUUACCUCCAUUUUGUAAAGAUUGAUCAGGAGACUCUGUUGAUCAUUGAUUCUCUUGGCAUCCAGAUGACGUCAUCUUAUGCUUCAGGCAAAGAAAACACCACCUUCAUAGAGAUGGGCAAAGUCAAAGACAUUGUCAUUAACGAGGCUAUUUACAUGAAGGUGAUUUACUACCUCUGCAUUUUACUGAAGGAUCCACUGGAACCACAUAAGAUAUCUCAAGUAGUACCUGUCUUCCAGAGUGCCAAGCCCCGGCUGGACUGCUUGAUUGAAGUGUACAAGAGCUGCCAAGAAGUUCUGACACACCAGAAAGCCACAUCAACAAACCCAUGAGUUCCCAGCAUUCAGAAGGCCAGUACCAUCUUCCAGGGGAGAUGGCUCCUAAGCUGUAGUGGCUGGUUUGUCUCCACUGCAAACCACCAGGUGGACAUAGUCCUAGGAACCAGAAUGGAUGGAGUGGGUCUCAGAUCACUGUAGAGCAGUAGGAACAACACCUUAAAGCAAAAGAGGUCUGUUGCUGUCUUCAUAACGAAUGAGGAGCACUAUGGAGACUGACUAGUGUUGAGGCAGCAGAACCUGAGCAUAAGAUGAGAGCACCUUAAAGGCCCUAACCGGGGCCUGCAGCAAGAAGACAAGCAGAGCUCUGGUCUGGAGUGGAUCUGAUCACAAGCAUGAAGUCAUCCCUGCAGCCACCAAAGGUUGUCAAUGAAGAGUACGGCAAUCCACACCAAAGUGUUCUCCUUGGAUGACAGCUGGGCAGGCUGCAUAAACAGAACAGUCCCAUCAGGCACAUCCACAGAGAUUCUGAACUGCAUGUACUGGGAUC
RNA transcript from Heterocephalus glaber (naked mole-rat), 1356 nucleotides. It is a transcript of the gene named phosphatidylinositol glycan anchor biosynthesis class H, with no coding region annotated. Lineage: Eukaryota; Metazoa; Chordata; Mammalia; Rodentia; Bathyergidae. The record is from RefSeq and is a predicted model, not a curated record.